Molecule: long non-coding RNA, 470 nt
Organism: Mytilus californianus (California mussel)
Lineage: Eukaryota; Metazoa; Mollusca; Bivalvia; Mytilida; Mytilidae
Exons: 4
Source: RefSeq, a predicted model, not a curated record
AGAUAGCAUUUUUCAUAUGCUUCGUAUUGUUGAUACUUCUAGCAGGCGUUCUAAUUGGACAUUUUGGAAAAGUUUCAUGCUCGGGGUCGUUCAUAUUUAUUAUUUUAGGAGUAUCAUUGUGCCUUACAUCUGUAAUCCUGUUUUGCAGAGGAAAAGUUUCUGAUUCAUAUAUCAAUAGCGACGUUCCAGUAACUGAUUUACCUACGGAAGAAGAAGAUCCUUCAGAAGAACGAUGCCUUGCAUAGUUCUACACCUAAGAUAUAAGGAGUAUCUUUGGAUAGUUACAGAGUUUAUUCAGUACGGAACACUAAUGGAAUAAGGCUAAUUACAAUUGACAAACAGUUGAUGAUUGAUGUGUACAGAGAAAAAAAAACAAUAAAAGCAAACUUGAACUUUGCCAUUCAUACAUCAACAGAAACCAGUGAUUUAACAGAGCCGCUGAAAUUUACAACACGAUGACAUAAUAUCAA